RNAcentral lists this ribosomal RNA (398 nucleotides) under uncultured Campylobacterota bacterium. Its description in RNAcentral is "bacterial SSU rRNA". It matches the Rfam family "Bacterial small subunit ribosomal RNA", at positions 9 to 405 of the family's 1533-position model. Lineage: Bacteria; Pseudomonadati; Campylobacterota. The record is from RNAcentral.
GAGUUUGAUCGUGGCUCAGGACGAACGCUGGCGGCGUGCUUAAUACAUGCAAGUCAACGAGAAACAGGGUGCUUGCAUCCUGUGGACAGUGGCGCACGGGUGCGUAACACGUAGGUAAUCUGCCCUUAGGACUGACAUAACUCCGGGAAACCGAAGCUAAUAUCAGAUAAUGCAGCGGCUCGGCAUCGAGACAGUUGUUAAAUCUUCGGAGCCUAAGGAUGAACCUGCGUCCCAUUAGGUAGUUGGUGAGGUAAAUGCUCACCAAGCCUGCGAUGGGUAGCUGGUCUGAGAGGAUGAUCAGCCACACUGGAACUGAGACACGGUCCAGACUCCUACGGGAGGCAGCAGUAAGGAAUAUUGCUCAAUGGGAGAAUCCUGAAGCAGCAACGCCGCGUGGA